UUGUAUUGACCCAACUAUCAAUUUCAUUUGACAUUUAUCUGAUAAAAAUUUAGGUUAUAUUUAUUUCCAAAAAUCUACCACAAUAAUUAGAAAAUAUGAAAAAAUAUGCACGUAGUGUUUUAUACGACAAAUUGCACCGAGGAGCUGUGCUGUGUUGCGUGGGUUUAACUUUAUAUGGAUCUUUAAUCCUUGGAGAUCAUGUAUAUAAGUAUUUCAAAUACGUUCGACCCCAAAUACAAGCAGCGAAGGCAUCUGCAGAACAAGAACUUUUAGCAGAAGGUUCAUCAGAUAAAAUGGUUUAAAACUACAUAAUCUCCAGUUAAUAAUUAUGUUAAGUAAUGUUUUGUUUAGUUUAAUUUAUUGUACAUAAUAAAGUCAAUGUUUAAUAGUUA
Vanessa tameamea is the source of this 392-nucleotide long non-coding RNA. RefSeq lists it as uncharacterized. NCBI's taxonomy places the organism in Eukaryota, Metazoa, Arthropoda, Insecta, Lepidoptera, Nymphalidae. The record is from RefSeq and is a predicted model, not a curated record. The transcript is spliced from 2 exons.